AUGAGGACCUCCAUCCAUGGCUGCUCUCUUCGUCAGCCAAACAUGCGCGCCGGCCGACGGCAGCCCUCCUCCGUCUCCGCGAGCGCCACUCCUCUCCCUCGGCAGAUCAUAUCGGCUGCAAAGGAAAAGGGCGAGCCUACAGAGAUUCGAACAAAGCACCACAGAGUACAGCAUGUGCACGUUAGCCACUCCAACAAGCAUAGCCAUAUGUUCACGACAAGAUGCGAUUCUAUUUACAAGGGAAAAAUUGAGUCGCAUGAAUUUGAAAGAAGGAGCGCAGAAAAACUCAUGAGCGUCACACACAUAGCAGGCUCCACUGACAUGUGGGCCACCAGCCAAUUGGCACUCCAAACGGGCAUCUCAUACACUCAUACGUACAGAGGCACCGUAUUUGAACGCUCGAACAAGUUGCUGGAUGCAUUUGUGGGCACCGUUUUCACAUUAAGUCACCAACCUUUACGUCCCACCGAGGGUAAUUUUGCGCCGGUCAAAGAGAUCGGCGAUGUGAGAGAGAUAUUUGAUAUUGCAGGAGAGAUUCCAGCAGAUUUUCCAGAGGGUGUUUAUAUAAGAAAUGGUUCCAACCCUCUCUUUGGAGCCCUCCACUCGUCAAGCUCUAUCUUUGGCAAGUCCCAUGACAUAUGGAUCGAAGGAGAAGGCAUGCUCCACGCCGUGUACUUCACCAAGAGCAACAACAACACAUGGUCAAUCAAGUACACCAACCGCUAUGUGCAGUCCGAUACAUUUAGGGUUGAGGAUGGACUGAAGAAACCAUGCUUCCUCCCUGCCACUGACGGUGACCCUCUUGCGAUGCUCAUAGCGGGUAACCUUAAUACUCUGAGGUUCGGAAAGGCUUUCAAGAACAUGAGCAACACCAGCGUGUUUGAGCAUGCUGGGAGAGUCUUCUCAGCAGCAGAAAAUGAUAACCCCCAUGAGAUUGACUUGUAUAGUCUUGGCACACUGGGUAGCUGGAAUGUUGAUGGAGGAUGGAAGAUGCCAUUCACUGCGCACCCCAAGGUAAUCCCUGGAACAGGAGAGUUGGUCAUCUUCGGGUUCAACGUGGAUGCGCCUUUUCUAACGGUAGAGAAACUUGAACAAGCUUUGAGAAAGGCCUGGUACAACGGACACAACAAUUUCGCUCCCGAGCUCAUCUACUCCCUUGGAAGACCAUGCGUGAUGUUCGUGCCAAAUUUGGUGGUGUUUGGACAUCUCAGUAGCUCUCGGCAAAAAGGAAUUAGGAUGAUAUAUUCACCAAAAGAAAGAUUCGUGUGCAUAAAUAUAGUCAAGGAUUUAGCAAAAGAAGAUGCAAUUUCUGAUUCUCCACUUACAAUCAACAAGGAAAGGAUGCUCAAAGGUGCUCUGCUGAUUGAAUUCGAAAAGGAUAGCUAUGCAAGAAUAGGUGUCAUGCCCCAUUAUGGUGAUGCAAACUCGAUAACAUGGUUUUACGUACAACCAUUCUGCACGAUCCAUCUUGUCAACUGCUUUGAAGAAGAUGAUGAGGUACAUAUUGGGCACAAACUGAACCAAUCCUUGGACAAAAGUCAUGAUCCAACCUCCUAUGGGAGCGCACGAGACAACAAAGCAAUCAAGAAAGAACAAAAGGUCGUUGUGAGGGGAUUUCAUGUGCCAGGUUCUAUCAUUUUGGGGCCAAGGAUCAAAUCCAAUCAAGGACUAACCAAGGAAUGUUUUUCUCGCUUGUAUGAGUGGAGACUGAACUUGAAAACAAGGACAGUUGUAGGCAAAUGCUUAACUGGAGAAGAGGUUGCCCUGAAAUUCCCAGUAAUGAAUGACAAAUAUGUUGGCUUGCCUCACAAGUAUGCAUAUGCACAAGUGGCAAAUUCUCCGGCAAAUUUGGCAGUCAAAUGCAAAUAUUGUCUUAGGAUCAUGGAAGAGAAGUGUUUUGACUCUACCUUUCUGAAUCUUCAAAGUGGGCACAUAGAUGUACGACCGAAAUUCGGAGGUUUUGCAAAAUUUUGUCUUCAUGAGAAAGAGGAUGCAACCACCAAGGUCAACGGUACAAACGAAGAUGAUGGUUGGAUAGUUUCGUUUGUGCAUGAUGAAGGGACAAAUAAAUCAAAAGUGCACAUCAUCAAUGCACAAACAUUUGAGUAUGAGCCUAUUGCUAAGAUAGCAUUGCCGCAAAGAGUGCCAUAUGGAUUUCAUGGAGCAUUUGUAUCAAAAAGUACAUGA
This 2187-nucleotide ribosomal RNA is filed under the name Triticum aestivum (bread wheat). RNAcentral describes it as "partial small subunit ribosomal RNA". The record is from RNAcentral. Lineage: Eukaryota; Viridiplantae; Streptophyta; Magnoliopsida; Poales; Poaceae.